Long non-coding RNA from Etheostoma spectabile (orangethroat darter), 374 nucleotides. RefSeq lists it as uncharacterized. The record is from RefSeq and is a predicted model, not a curated record. The transcript has 4 exons. Lineage: Eukaryota; Metazoa; Chordata; Actinopteri; Perciformes; Percidae.
GAACAGGAUGUGUGAGAGAAGCACAUUGAAAGAAAAAAUGAUAAUCAACCAUAAACUGAGAAAAAUAGGACACAACCUCAAAUAGGAGCAUCACAGCGGAGCAGCCGGCCCCCUAACAGCCCUCAUACAGGACUGCAGCAGGACUUCACACAUCUGGUCAGGAUGAAGAGGAACCCACAGGAGGAAAUUGAGGAAAUCAUAGAAGAAGCUAGCUAUGUUAAUGCUCCAGUAUGUACUGUGGAGAAAGUGGCAGCCCCUCCAGACCAGAGGUCUCUCUUCUUCUCUCGGUCUUCUCCACUGAUAGCAGUGUGUUGGCUGAUACUGUUAGUCAUCAUGGGCCUUCGUAUCUACUUUGCUACAGUAAGUCAUCAGAG